GUAGGUGGCAAGCGUUGUCCGGAAUUAUUGGGCGUAAAGCGCGCGCAGGCGGUUCUUUAAGUCUGAUGUGAAAGCCCACGGGCUCAACCGUGGAGGGUCAUUGGAAACUGGAGAACUUGAGUACAGAAGAGGAAAGCGGGAUUCCACGUGUAGCGGUGAAAUGCGUAGAGAUGUGGAGGAACACCAGUGGCGAAGGCGGCUUCUGGUCUGUAACUGACGCUGAGGCGCGAAAGCGUGGGGAGCAAACAGGAUUAGAUACCCUGGUAGUCCACGCCGUAAACGAUGAGUGCUAAGUGUUAGGGGGUUUCCGCCCCUUAGUGCUGCAGCUAACGCAUUAAGCACUCCGCCUGGGGAGUACGGCCGCAAAGGCUG
Molecule: ribosomal RNA, 372 nt
Filed under: uncultured organism
Description: partial 16S ribosomal RNA
Rfam family: Bacterial small subunit ribosomal RNA
Source: RNAcentral